CCUUUUAAACUGAUCAUUGUCCUCGUUCAUCUCAGACAGUGAAAUGACUUACUUAGGAUGAAGAUAUUUCCAACUAGGCAGGACAUUUUUCCUGAUUAAACUUUUCUUAUAAAAACCAAGUGAUUUUUAUAAGAAUUCUUGUUACUUUUCCUUACAUAUUCUUUCACAUGCAAAAGAUAUUUUAAUAAAAAAAAAUGCAACCUAUACAUCAAAUAUGAGUCAUUGAAUAAAACACAGCCACACUGACUUUGAAUUAUAAGGCACACACUAAAAACAUAAAUAAUCCCAUUAACAAGUGGACAAAAGAUACAAUCAAACAUUUCUCAAAAGAAGACAUAUAAAUGACGUCAGGAAUAUGAAAAAGUGCUCAACAUUGCUAAGCACUGGGGAAACCCAAAUCAAAAUCACAAUGAGGUAUAAUCUCACCCCAGUUAGAAUGGCCAUCAUUGCAAAGACAAAAAAAUAGCAAGUGCUGGUCAGGAUGUGGAGAAAAAGUAACUCAUACACUGCCAGUGGCAGUGUAAAUUAGUAAAACCGCUCUGGAAAAUGGUACAGAGAUUUCUCAAAAAAACAAAUAUUGAACUGCCAUACAAUCCAGCAAUUCCACUACUGGGUAUUUAUCCAAAGAAAAAGAAAUAUAUUUUUCAAAAAGAUACCUGAACUCCUAUGUUUAUUGGAGCACUGUUCACAAUGGCAAAGAUAUGGAAUCAACCUAGUUGACCAUCAGUGGACAAACAGAAAGACAAUAU
Molecule: long non-coding RNA, 749 nt
Filed under: Pan troglodytes (chimpanzee)
Lineage: Eukaryota; Metazoa; Chordata; Mammalia; Primates; Hominidae
Description: long non-coding RNA NONPTRT013709
Source: RNAcentral